RNAcentral lists this long non-coding RNA (372 nucleotides) under Volvox carteri. RNAcentral describes it as "long non-coding RNA (VCAR_LNC001283)". Lineage: Eukaryota; Viridiplantae; Chlorophyta; Chlorophyceae; Chlamydomonadales; Volvocaceae. The record is from RNAcentral.
CCGUGAUGAAGUUGCCAGCAAGCAUCGAGUUGGGCACCCGCGAGUGCAAUUGAGGCGCCCGUGUGUGCAGGAGUAACCCUUUCUGGUCGUGAUGAAGUUGCCAGCAAGCAUCAACUUGAGCACCCGCGAGUGCAAUUGAGGCGCCCGUGUGUGCAGGAGUAAUCUUUUCCGGUCGUGAUGAGGUUGCCAGCGAGCAUCGAGUUGGGCACCCGCGAGUGCAAUUGAGACGCCCGCGUGCACAGAAGUAAUCUUUUCCGGCCGUGAUGAAGUUGCCAGUGAGCAUCAACUUGAGCACCCGCGAGUGCAACUGAGGCGCCCAUGUGUGCAGUUGUUGGCACCCGUGCGUGCAGACAUGAGCAUCGUCGAUUGCCU